RNAcentral lists this ribosomal RNA (384 nucleotides) under Triticum aestivum (bread wheat). RNAcentral's name for it is "partial small subunit ribosomal RNA". Lineage: Eukaryota; Viridiplantae; Streptophyta; Magnoliopsida; Poales; Poaceae. The record is from RNAcentral.
AUGGAAAUAUCGAAGCUAUGCCUCAGUUGUUGUGAAACAACCUGUUUGAAAGAGUGUUUGGGACGCUGUCCACAUGCAUUUGUUGUUGAAUGGUGCCACGAGGAGGCGGCUGGUGAUAUAGGUUUAACUUUGGGUGCCAUAUCUAGCAGCAUAGACUUGAGUGUCAUUUACGGUGCUCUUCACCAGAAUACAAAUCAUGUUUUGGUUUCAAUGCUGUGCCACAGUGAGGGAAGUCAUUUCACAUGCUUUACCUUGGAGAAUGGGUCCUGGAUGUUCUAUGAUGCUGCGAACAAAGAGGUUGCAGGGCUCUGGGAAAACGUAAAAGAUAUUUGUGUCAAGCGUGUUCUUAAACCUCAAAUCCUGUUGUUUGCAGAACAGGAAUAG